Molecule: ribosomal RNA, 554 nt
Filed under: Salmonella enterica subsp. enterica serovar Oranienburg
Lineage: Bacteria; Pseudomonadati; Pseudomonadota; Gammaproteobacteria; Enterobacterales; Enterobacteriaceae
Description: partial 23S ribosomal RNA
Rfam family: Bacterial large subunit ribosomal RNA
Source: RNAcentral
AAUCCAUAGGUUAAUGAGGCGAACCGGGGGAACUGAAACAUCUAAGUACCCCGAGGAAAAGAAAUCAACCGAGAUUCCCCCAGUAGCGGCGAGCGAACGGGGAGGAGCCCAGAGCCUGAAUCAGCAUGUGUGUUAGUGGAAGCGUCUGGAAAGGCGCGCGAUACAGGGUGACAGCCCCGUACACAAAAGCGCAUGUGCUGUGAGCUCGAUGAGUAGGGCGGGACACGUGGUAUCCUGUCUGAAUAUGGGGGGACCAUCCUCCAAGGCUAAAUACUCCUGACUGACCGAUAGUGAACCAGUACCGUGAGGGAAAGGCGAAAAGAACCCCGGCGAGGGGAGUGAAAAAGAACCUGAAACCGUGUACGUACAAGCAGUGGGAGCCCCACCACUAAGCCAGUGGUGAACUCCACAUACGCAUCCUUUGCUGAGGAUGCGGUUAACGGAGCGAAAGCGACGUUCAACCGCAAAAGAAGCAGAGGGGGCUUAGUGGUGGGGUGACUGCGUACCUUUUGUAUAAUGGGUCAGCGACUUAUAUUCUGUAGCAAGGUUAACCG